GAUGAACGCUGGCGGCGUGCCUAAUACAUGCAAGUCGAGCGAACAGACGAGGAGCUUGCUCCUCUGACGUUAGCGGCGGACGGGUGAGUAACACGUGGAUAACCUACCUAUAAGACUGGGAUAACUUCGGGAAACCGGAGCUAAUCCCGGUAAAUAUAUUGAACCGCAUGGUUCAAUAGUGAAAGACGGUUUUGUUGUCACUUAUAGAUGGAUCCGCGCCGCAUUAGCUAGUUGGUAAGGUAACGGCUUACCAAGGCAACGAUGCGUAGCCGACCUGAGAGGGUGAUCGGCCACACUGGAACUGAGACACGGUCCAGACUCCUACGGGAGGCAGCAGUAGGGAAUCUUCCGCAAUGGGCGAAAGCCUGACGGAGCAACGCCGCGUGAGUGAUGAAGGUCUUCGGAUCGUAAAACUCUGUUAUUAGGGAAGAACAAAUGUGUAAGUAACUAUGCACGUCUUGACGGUACCUAAUCAGAAAGCCACGGCUAACUACGUG
Molecule: ribosomal RNA, 497 nt
Filed under: uncultured bacterium
Lineage: Bacteria
Description: partial 16S ribosomal RNA
Rfam family: Bacterial small subunit ribosomal RNA
Source: RNAcentral